RNAcentral lists this transfer RNA (97 nucleotides) under Lentinula lateritia. RNAcentral describes it as "tRNA-Glu". It matches the Rfam family "tRNA". Rfam says of the family: Transfer RNA (tRNA) molecules are approximately 80 nucleotides in length. Their secondary structure includes four short double-helical elements and three loops (D, anti-codon, and T loops). Lineage: Eukaryota; Fungi; Basidiomycota; Agaricomycetes; Agaricales; Omphalotaceae. The record is from RNAcentral.
UCCAAUGUGGUGUAGUGGCUAACAUUGCUGUCUUUCAUAGAGCAGCCGCCAAAAUGAAUUUCCACAGCAGCCCGGGGUUCGAUUCCCCGCAUUGGAA